AUGGCGCACACCAGCGAUGGAUGGGGAGCUCCAUAUGAUAAUCAAACCUACGUCGAAGCUUACGAACAACUGGAAAUUGCACUUUUGGAGCCACUUGAUCGUAUUCUUGAAACGGCAAAUGUUGAAGAGUUUCGUCCAAAGUUCAAAAACCAUCAGGAUCCAAAUGAUAGAAAAAAUAAGAAAAAUAACGAUGAAGAAUGGAGAGAUUCCAUUUAUAAUAUCGCAACGGAUGAAUCGGAUACUGAUGAUCAUGAGCAGAGAAAGAACUUUUUUCAACCACCACUUCAAGUUCAAAGAAACUCAUUCGUUAAGAAUACUCUGAUGGAAUUCAAAAGAUCUUCUCAAAUUGAUAUCAGCCGACUUGCUGUGAUGGGAUGUGGAGAAAUGUCGUUGGAGAAAGGAAUAUGUGAAUAUCUUGGAUCUUUUGGAACUAUCAAUGUUCUUUCUGUCGAUAUUGAUGAGCCUUCGUUGUCUAUUGGACAACAGUUGCUGGGAAAACAUUUGGAACGUAAUGCAGAGAUCUUAGCUGUGGAAACAGGACUUCCAGUGCUGAUGCGAUCAUAUGUCGGAGAUAUUCUUGAACCAGAUCAUCGCUUUGCCGAUGUUGAUGCGAUCGUCUCAAUGGAAGUCGUUGAACACAUCCCUCUUCCAAAUGCGAAAAAAUUUGUCGAAAAUGUUCUGGGGACUUUGAUGCCACGCAUUUUCAUUUUUUCUACGCCAAAUCAUGAAUAUAAUGCAGUAUUUGGAAUGGAGCCUGGCGAGUUUCGACAUGGCGAUCAUAAAUUUGAGAUGAAUAGGAAAGAGUUCUCGAAUUGGCUGGAAGAGCUUUCAAUUCGUUUUCCGCAUUAUCAAAUCGAUCCACCACAUUACAUCGGAAUGACACGUGGCUACGAGAAUCUCAGUGGUGCUUCUCAGGCUGCAGUAUGUCGCCUCCAAGUAGAUCUCAACACAACUCUUCCGCAAGAAGUUACACCAUACGAAAUGGUUGGGCACUUGCCGUGCAGAUUGGGAUCCCGAUUGAUUGCUUAUAAUCUUGUGAAAGAAGCUUUUUUGGAUUGGUUGGAAAAGAUUGAGCUUCAAGAGCACGAACCGAGAACGGACGGCUACUCUCCUUAUUGGAUUUUUAAUGUCCAAAACAUUCUUCAUCAUCUGAAAGCGCCGGUCAGCUUUGCUCUCACUAUUGAUGAAAAAGUAGCAAUGCAAGUUUCUUCAGUAAUCGGAACAGUUGAAUUUUAAAUCUUAUUUUCAGAAAAUACAUUCAAGGAAUGACCAGUCGCAAAGUUCAUGCCGAAUAUUCACACGGUUUUAAUGGUAUUGUCAUUUUACAAAUGCAUUCAAAGGAAGAGCUCAUCAAAACGGUUCAAGAUAAUACACUUUAA
Molecule: unclassified non-coding RNA, 1379 nt
Filed under: Caenorhabditis elegans
Lineage: Eukaryota; Metazoa; Nematoda; Chromadorea; Rhabditida; Rhabditidae
Description: Non-coding transcript of protein-coding gene henn-1
Source: RNAcentral